Molecule: ribosomal RNA, 303 nt
Filed under: uncultured bacterium
Lineage: Bacteria
Description: partial 16S ribosomal RNA
Rfam family: Bacterial small subunit ribosomal RNA
Source: RNAcentral
AGCAGUCGCCGCGGGAAUACAGAGGGUGCAAGCGUUAAUCGGAAUUACUGGGCGUAAAGCGCGCGUAGGUGGUUUGUUAAGUUGGAUGUGAAAUCCCCGGGCUCAACCUGGGAACUGCAUCCAAAACUGGCAAGCUAGAGUAUGGUAGAGGGUGGUGGAAUUUCCUGUGUAGCGGUGAAAUGCGUAGAUAUAGGAAGGAACACCAGUGGCGAAGGCGACCACCUGGACUGAUACUGACACUGAGGUGCGAAAGCGUGGGGAGCAAACAGGAUUAGAUACCCGGGUAGUCCCUGUCUCUUAUAC